This 292-nucleotide ribosomal RNA is filed under the name uncultured bacterium. RNAcentral's name for it is "partial 16S ribosomal RNA". It matches the Rfam family "Bacterial small subunit ribosomal RNA", at positions 505 to 796 of the family's 1533-position model. The record is from RNAcentral.
GUGUCAGCCGCCGCGGUAAUACGUAGGUGGCAAGCGUUGUCCGGAUUUAUUGGGUUUAAAGGGUGCGUAGGCGGUCUUCUAAGUCAGUUGUGAAAUACUUCAGCUUAACUGGAGAGGUGCAAUUGAUACUGGGAGACUUGAGUACUGAUGAGGUAGGCGGAAUGGACGGUGUAGCGGUGAAAUGCUUAGAUAUCGUCCAGAACACCGAUAGCGAAGGCAGCUUACUAAGGAGUAACUGACGCUGAGGCACGAAAGUGUGGGGAUCAAACAGGAUUAGAUACCCCGGUAGUCC